RNAcentral lists this ribosomal RNA (253 nucleotides) under uncultured bacterium. RNAcentral's name for it is "partial 16S ribosomal RNA". It matches the Rfam family "Bacterial small subunit ribosomal RNA", at positions 524 to 776 of the family's 1533-position model. The record is from RNAcentral.
UACGUAGGGUGCAAGCGUUAAUCGGAAUUACUGGGCGUAAAGCGUGCGCAGGCGGUCCGGAAAGAAAGAUGUGAAAUCCCAGGGCUCAACCUUGGAACUGCAUUUUUAACUACCGGACUAGAGUAUGUCAGAGGGAGGUGGAAUUCCACGUGUAGCAGUGAAAUGCGUAGAUAUGUGGAGGAACACCGAUGGCGAAGGCAGCCUCCUGGGAUAAUACUGACGCUCAUGCACGAAAGCGUGGGGAGCAAACAGG